AGCAGCCGCGGUAAUUCCAGCUCCAAUAGCGUAUAUUAAAGUUGUUGCAGUUAAAAAGCUCGUAGUUGAAUUUCGGGGUUAAUAAGUUGGUCAUACCUAUGGUAUGUACUGGCUUCAUUGAUUCCUACCUCUUGACGAACUGUGAUGCCAUUAAUUUGGUGUUGCAAGGAAUCAGGACUGUUACCUUGAAAAAAUUAGAGUGUUUAAAGCAGGCUUACGCUUGAAUACAUUAGCAUGGAUAAUGAAAUAGGACGUUUGAACCUAUUUGUUGGUUUCUAGGAUCGACGUAAUGAUUAAUAGGGUAUAGUUGGGGCAUUAGUAUUCAAUUGUCAGAGGUGAAAUUCUUGGAUUUAUUGAAGACUAACUACUGCGAAAGCAUUUGCAAGGAUGUUUCAUUAAUCAAGAACGAAAGUU
This 414-nucleotide ribosomal RNA is filed under the name uncultured Glomus. RNAcentral describes it as "SSU rRNA". It matches the Rfam family "Eukaryotic small subunit ribosomal RNA", at positions 569 to 991 of the family's 1831-position model. Lineage: Eukaryota; Fungi; Glomeromycota; Glomeromycetes; Glomerales; Glomeraceae. The record is from RNAcentral.